GGAAUUGCAAAAGAUUUUCUACCGCCUAGAGCGUGACGGGAAAAAAAGCUACUGGGCUAAGGAAUUGCACAGGAGGAUAGAUACCUGGACGUGGCAAAAUCCACGCGGCCCUUCUUAAAUAAAAGGUAUAUAGCUGACCCUCCUUUCGCAACAAGGUAGCCGUAGGGGAACCUGUGGCUGGAUUGAAUCCCUCCCUAUCCGAGAUGUGCUCUUGAAGGAUCUCCCUCGACAGCGCAGUUAGGUCUUAGAGAAGGAACUGAUUUACCGCUCCGUGGGUAAGUAUGCUCUUGAAGGAUCUCCCUCGACAGCGUAGUUAGGUCUUAGAGAAGGAACUGAUUUACCGCUCUCUAGGUAAGUAGCCAACUU
RNAcentral lists this long non-coding RNA (366 nucleotides) under Nicotiana benthamiana. RNAcentral's name for it is "long non-coding RNA (NBEN_LNC037238)". The record is from RNAcentral. Lineage: Eukaryota; Viridiplantae; Streptophyta; Magnoliopsida; Solanales; Solanaceae.